Long non-coding RNA from Macaca fascicularis (crab-eating macaque), 1617 nucleotides. The record is from Ensembl. NCBI's taxonomy places the organism in Eukaryota, Metazoa, Chordata, Mammalia, Primates, Cercopithecidae.
UUUUUUUUUUUUUUUUUUUGUGAGAUGGAGUCUUGCUCUGUCGCCCAGGCUGGAGUGCAGUGGCCGGAUCUCAGCUCACUGCAAGCUCCGCCUCCCAGGUUUACGCCAUUCUCCUGCCUCAGCCUCCCAAGUAGCUGGGACUACAGGCUCGCCACCCUCGCCCCAGCUAGUUUUUUGUAUUUUUCAGUAGAGACGGGGUUUCAUCGUGUUAGCCAGGAUGGUUUUGAUCUCCUGACCUCAUGAUCCGCCCGUCUCGGCCUCCCAAAGUGCUGGGAUUACAGGCUUGAGCCACCGCGCCCGGCCAGAAGUCCUAUUGUUAAUCUUUUUGUAGGCAAAGAAACUUCAAAAAGUGAGCAAUCACCCAUUUAAAAAAAUCUUCGAUUUUCAUAUAUCCAGUUUGCCGAAACAAAAUCAAUCUGGUGUCCUCAGCUGUCUCCACAACUGAAUUGGAGAGACUAUAUGGCCACCCAUUUGAGCAGAUGCUUUUUUUUUUUUUUUAAAUAGCUGAAGAAACUCAUUUGCAAACUGAAUUAGUGGCAGAGAAUUGACAUGACUUAGUCAAGGAAAUGAUAAGUCACUCACUCUUCUGGGAUGCCAGAAAAUGCAGCCCAAGGGACAAGCGACCCCUGGAAUACCUAGGACAGGAUUACCUACCCACAGCCCUGGGUGGUGCAAGGUUAGGAAGGGACGAACGGCCAGAUAAAGUUCUUGCAGGGACCAUGCCCAGCUGCCCUUGAUGGGAGGACUCAGCUAUGCCUUCACUAGAUCUUUGCUUGUAUGCAUAUACUUAUAGAAACUAGAGCUUCAUGUCUGUAAAGUGGGCACAAUGUAGCAAAUACAAUAAUUAGGGUUAUUUUUACACUUGAAACCAGAGAGCAAGGACAACUCAGCUAAGGUUCCUACUAUCUCUAACCUAAGACUAUACUUGAACUGCAUGUCUCUCUCUCUUUUUUCUUUAGUGGAAUUACAGUUUUUAGAAAGGCACAGUGUCGGCCGGGCGCGGUGGCUCACGCCUGUAAUCCCAGCACUUUGGGAGGCAAAGGCGGGUGGAUCACCUGAGGUCAGGAGUUCAAGACCAGCCUGACCAAACAUCAAAACCCCAUUUCUACUAAAAAUACAAAAUUAGCCGGGUGUGGUGGCGCAUGCCUGUAAUUGCAGCUACUCAGGAGGCUGAGGCAGGAGAAUCGCCUCAACAGAGGGAGGCGGAGGCUGCAGUGAGCUGAGAUCAUGCCAUCCAUUGCACUCCAGCCUGGGGAACAAGAGUGAAACUAAUUCUGGAAAAAAAAAAAAAAAAGGAACAGUGUCUUAUUUUAACAAGCUCACUGAGAACUAAAAACAUGACCCAAAUUAAUGAACCACUAAUAGAUACUCUUUUUCUACAAACACAGCAGAUUCAUGAACAGUUUUCUUGGGCAGAUCCAAAAGGAAAGAACAGAACAAGACAUGAUUUUUUUAAAAAAAUGGGUGACUCCAUAAUCAUAUUCCUCAGAAGCCUUGGCCAGGAUUUGGGGCAAGAAAAUCGAGGCCUGGGAGCGGUGGCUCAUGCCUGUCAUCCCAACACUUUGGGAGGACGAGGUGGGCAGAUCGCCUGAGGUCAGGAGUUAGAGACCAGCCCGG